UAUGUCCAUUGCCGUUGAGAUUACAAGAUGUGGAACGUUAGGGACUAGCUAGACGUGCAGUUAAUGGUAGUAAACGUCAGAAAAUAGUCCUAAAAUAUCGAUUAUUUACACGUUACCUCGACAAUAAGUUGUUCCUUUAUCAGAAACCUAGCUGUGAAUAAGAGGGAGACCGUUUCUGUUGAGUUAAGUGAAGAAAGUCCGGUUCUCUUUUUGAAAGACCAGAUAAGAUUUGGAGAAACACUUGAGAUGGCGAGCCCAGCCCAGCUAGACUGUGGACGGUUGUGGAUGCGGUGCGGCCUUCUGUAGGAUCUGCCCACAGAAGACGUCUGACUGGCUCGAUUACUCAUACCGACCCCAGAGAAACUCAGACAGUCGUUGUCACUGAGCGAGAGGUGAAAUGGCGCAGAAAGGAGUUCAGCUGGACCGGGAAACCUUCUCUUGUUCCAUCUGUCUGGAUCUACUGAAGGAUCCGGUGACUACUCCUGCUGU
This is a long non-coding RNA of Perca fluviatilis (European perch), 489 nucleotides long. RefSeq lists it as uncharacterized. The record is from RefSeq and is a predicted model, not a curated record. The transcript is spliced from 3 exons. NCBI's taxonomy places the organism in Eukaryota, Metazoa, Chordata, Actinopteri, Perciformes, Percidae.